CGUAAUCACACGGAACGCGUCGGCAGUCUAGUAACAGACUGGUUCGCGUUUAUCUGUAAUGUUCCGUCUACUGCUCCUGCCGUUCAUUGUCGUAAAACGUAUUGGGUCCCGCACUAAACUACCAAUGCCUAACUUUGAAUUAGGCGUGGCGGCCACCACACCUAAUCCAAAGGUUCGUAUCUACUGCUAUAAUACGCCUAAAUCGUGCUACAUUACAGCGCCUACAGACAUUAUUAUUUACAGUACUGACGGGCGGGCAAUCGUUUGCGUAAGGCUGAACGAGCGCCGUUGUCGAACGUUUCGAAACACGACGGUUCGCCGAGUCAGGAAACAUUUUGAACAAUCGCGUACGACAACAACGUUCGUCCUAGCGUGGACCCGCGUCAAUAUUAUAACAAUUUACCAUUCGUUUCUACGGAUGGUUUUUUUUUUUGUACACCGUUGGAAUGCCG
Cinara cedri is the source of this 452-nucleotide non-coding RNA. Lineage: Eukaryota; Metazoa; Arthropoda; Insecta; Hemiptera; Aphididae. The record is from the annotation of a GenBank genome assembly.